This is a long non-coding RNA of Cyprinus carpio carpio, 1428 nucleotides long. NCBI's taxonomy places the organism in Eukaryota, Metazoa, Chordata, Actinopteri, Cypriniformes, Cyprinidae. The record is from Ensembl.
CGAGCCGAUGCCAAUGGAGCCACCACACUCUCCCAAUCGCGCCUGGCUGGCAGGCUGUGCCAUCCACCAGACCGAGGUUUUCAUUAACGGCCGUCCGUAUACAGCCCUGUUGGACUCUGGUAGCGCGGUAAGCCUGGUCCAGUCCUCCAUGUUUCCCCCACGGAUGGGAACCAAAGCCCGCCUAUCCAUCACCUGCAUUCAGGGGACACCCAGAAUGUGCCCACCCGAUGGGUGACCCUCUCCAAGAGGACAGGCACCUGGCCACUGGAAGUGGGCGUGGUCAAGGACUUACCCAUACCCGUCCUGCUGGGAAGAGACUGGCCAGGCUUUGAACAACUGCUCGCCCAAGUCACCCAACCUGCCAGCCCUGCCGGGAACCGCCAGAAGAGGAAGAACUUCAGCCGAGGUCCCCGCCGGUGCCCUGCCCUCUUGGCCUCGGACAGCGCCCGAGAUGGUGAGUCCCCCCCCCCCAAAGUUCUAACCUUUUCUAUGAUGUGUUCCAGCAGAUCAGGGGUGGGGGAAAUUUUGUGAAGGAGCAGCUCGGGGACGAUCGGCUGAAGCACUGCUGGAAGCAGGUGAGAGUGGUUUAGGGGAAAGAGGUCCAACCACCACCACACCCAAUCCCACACUUCGUGGUCCAGAAUGGCCUGCUGUACUGUGUUGCACAGCGGAGAGGGGAGGAGGUGAAGCUGCUGGUAGUCCCACACACGAGGACACAGACAAUCGUCGAGCUCGCCCAUUCCCAUCCUAUGGCUGGCCACCUAGGGGCACAGAACACUGCACAAUGAAUCCGAGACAGGUUCCAUUGGCCCGGCAUGGAGGCGGAGAUCAAACGGUUUUGUCAGGCAUGUCCGGACUGCCAACGGACGUCGCCACAUACUCCUCCUCCAGCUCCGCUAAUCCCGCUGCCCAUCAUCGAGGUGCCCUUUGAGCGGAUAGGAAUGGAUCUAGUAGGGCCGCUGCCAAAGUCCGCCCGGGGACAUGAACACAUAUUAGUCAUCGUGGAUUAUGCGACCCGGUACCCCGAAGCCAUUCCAUUGCGCCACAUCCAAGGCCAUCGCCCAGGAGCUCUUCCUGCUGUGCAGCCGGGUCGGCAUACCCCGGGAGAUACUGACCGACCAGGGCACCCCCUUCAUGUCCCGGAUGAUUGCUGACCUCUGCCGCCUCCUUAAGGUAAAGCAGCUUCGGACCGCCGUCUACCACCCUCAGACCGAUGGACUGAGAUGAGGGAAAGGCUCGACCGCGUCAUGCCCCUCGUCCGGGAACACCUGGCGGCAGCCCAAGGAGCCCAACGUCGUCGAUACGACCGGGCGGCCCAACCACGGGAAUUCCAGCCAGGUGAUUACGUCCUAGUCCUCGUCCCAACAGCCGCAUGCAAAUUUCUCGCCAAAUGGCAAGGCCCGUACAUCAUCACGGAGAAAGUGGGGC